Pelobates cultripes (western spadefoot toad) is the source of this 240-nucleotide non-coding RNA. NCBI's taxonomy places the organism in Eukaryota, Metazoa, Chordata, Amphibia, Anura, Pelobatidae. The record is from the annotation of a GenBank genome assembly.
CCCACACUGGCACUGCUCCCAAAUCGUUGCCCCCAAGGUGUAUGACCAACACGUCCAGGGCUUCCAGAAGACUAGAAAGCUAGACUAUUUCAGGAAGCAGCUGAACCCAUCGCAUGCCCCGAGUCCCAAACCAUCUGACAUCCGCCAACUCCGUCGAAAGGCCUAGUUGAGUCCCACCAGGUCGAACCCACGCACAGAGAUGGGUCCAAUAAACAUAGGAAUGUCCAACUAACCAGACCC